UCACUGGGUGUAUGAUUAUUG
RNAcentral lists this microRNA (21 nucleotides) under Heliconius melpomene (postman butterfly). The record is from RNAcentral. Lineage: Eukaryota; Metazoa; Arthropoda; Insecta; Lepidoptera; Nymphalidae.